CGUAGAAAUUUGUUUCUUUUGUUAUUUUUCCAACAAUUUGUUGAUAAGAUCAUUUAGAGUUUCAAAUAUGUUAAAGGUCUCUCUAUGUUCUUUUGAGCUCUUUUUUUGUGGAGCAAGGUCUCUCUAUUACAAAUUUUAAUGUUUUUUUAAUGAAAAUUGUUUACAUGUAUAAAAUGAAGCUUGAAAAGAUAAAAAUAAGUUGAUGAUAUGAUACUAAAGUUCUCUAUACCUAUGUAUAAUAGUUGUUACACAUUUUAAUGUUUUUUUAUUAAAAUUAUUUAUAUCUAAGAAAUGAAGCUUCAAAACAUAGGAAAUAGUCGAUGUCAAAUGCAAUAUCAAAGUUUUCUUUAAAUGUAAA
RNAcentral lists this long non-coding RNA (358 nucleotides) under Lathyrus oleraceus (garden pea). RNAcentral's name for it is "Pisum sativum (pea) long non-coding RNA (PSAT_LNC012721)". Lineage: Eukaryota; Viridiplantae; Streptophyta; Magnoliopsida; Fabales; Fabaceae. The record is from RNAcentral.